GGUUACAUUGGAGACAGGAGUGAAGGAUGCUUUAAAACUUCAAAACUUGUUCCUUUGAUGGGACAAUCUCACCAGUGCAAGACAACUGCUUGGCUCAUUUGUGGGAAGGCAAACAGAUUCGCAGAUGUAGAAAUUGGUCCACAUGAAGACAGUGGAUUCAGUUUUACAUCAAAGAUGAAGCUCAGCCGUGGCUGAACAGACUUAAUGAAAUCUCUCCAGCUUUGUCUAUAACCUUUUGUCAUUUGCAAAGAGGAAAGAUCACAUCAUACAAUCAUAGACUACCUCGAGUUCAAAGGGACCCAUGAGAAUCAUAGGGUCCAGCGCUCUGCCCCUCUCCAGACUACCUAAAACUAAAUUAUGUGACUAAGAGCAUCAUCCAAACGUGACUAUUCCAGGCUUUAAAGAAGCAUUAAUGAACAAUUUUUAUUUUGCCAUGAAUUUUAAAGGGUGAAAUAAUUGCACUGCUUGUGGAACAUCGUCUUUUCUU
Long non-coding RNA from Corapipo altera (White-ruffed manakin), 487 nucleotides. RefSeq lists it as uncharacterized. NCBI's taxonomy places the organism in Eukaryota, Metazoa, Chordata, Aves, Passeriformes, Pipridae. The transcript has 3 exons. The record is from RefSeq and is a predicted model, not a curated record.